GCCCAAAGCAAACACGAAACCCCUUUCAAUUCUCUGUUCUCAACCCUUACUAUUCAUCCUCUCUACGACUCUACUUCAUCCUAAAUUCGCAUUGAGGUUUAGAGCGUCAUGAAUGUCAUAAUCAGAUCUUGGUUCUCCUUGCACUGCUCAUAUGCUUGCUGAAUAUCUCUAUUCACCUUUAAUGGCAUUCAAUUUCAUCUCUUUCGAUCUUUGUCGAUAAUAUUCAGGAACUUGAAUUUCAUUCCAAGUUGGACUAAUUUAUAACCUUUAUGGGUAUGUCUCUGGAUGAUUGUAUUGUUUUCUAAAAUUGGACUCUCAUAUCAUGCUUUUGCUUUUAUAAUAUGUUCCAAAUUCCAAUCAGAGUGAAAUGUUUCAAAUUCCAAUCAGGAAGACAGUACAUGAAUAUAAAAUGGUCCUAAAACCAUAUUGCAACUUUGGUAGAGAUGUUAUGAAGGGCUCUUAAAUCUUCAAAAGUUAUUUCAUUGGCAAUUGGACUAAGAGGGACUAUAUUUUGGGAACUUUAUACAUAUGCAUAAAGCUAUUUUUUAAAAUUAAUAAAAUUAGUGUAAUGGUUUUGCUUUUGCUACAUAGCUUAUUAUUAAACUUAAUAGGUAAUUAGGGAGUAUUAAUAACUGGACAAAAGAGGUCAGUGGAUGCUUAAGUAAGAAAAUUCGACAAAUAUUAUGCCUUGAAUUGAUUUGGUGCACUGGUUGAGCAAGUAUUGUUUAUUGUAGCGUCUGAUGUAUGCUCAUUAUUUGAUAAGUUCUUGUAUUUUAUUGCUGUUAUUCUUAAUUAUUUGUGGUUGUGGUAGAUGGGAAAAGGAGUACGUAACUAGGUGGGGUGUGAGAUAUGACUAAUUUUCCCAAGCCAAAACGCUUUCCUUUAAGAAAGGGGUGGCGUCUUACAGUCUUACUCCAUGUAAGAGGUUACUUAUUCUUGUAAAUGAAUUAUCUUUAGUCUCUCUACACUUAAGGUGAUUUAUUCUAAUAAAGAUGAGUACUUAUUAUGUGUAUAAAAUUUGGCUUAGGUGACAUUUAGCUUCAGUAGCUGUUGCUUUUAUUAUGAAAUAUUCAUUCUUAGGUUUUAUAUCAUAGUAUCAAUAUCCAUGAUUGAGUUUUUUUGUUUAUGUAUGAUCUUAAUUUAAUAUUCCACUCUGUUAGCUCAGAUUUGAGGCUGGAACACUAGCUAUUUGUGAAGCCAUUGAGAUUAAGAGCAGCUAUUAACUAUUUAUUUAGAAUCGGCAUUACACGAUUGGAAAAGGCAAUGUAGGUGCAACAAGAGAAUAGGUCGGAACACUUGAGCAUUAAAACAAGCGACUAUAUAUAAGGCCAUCAUCUAUCUAUCUAUUUUGGUUUUUAGUCUUAUAUUAGUGAUGUAUUUAUUUAGGGACAAGCUACUAUAAUAUGCGACGUUUUAUUUUAUUUUUAAUUUUUAG
Long non-coding RNA from Chenopodium quinoa (quinoa), 1435 nucleotides. RefSeq lists it as uncharacterized. Lineage: Eukaryota; Viridiplantae; Streptophyta; Magnoliopsida; Caryophyllales; Amaranthaceae. The transcript is spliced from 3 exons. The record is from RefSeq and is a predicted model, not a curated record.